Ictidomys tridecemlineatus (thirteen-lined ground squirrel) is the source of this 1650-nucleotide non-coding RNA. The record is from RefSeq and is a predicted model, not a curated record. Lineage: Eukaryota; Metazoa; Chordata; Mammalia; Rodentia; Sciuridae.
AGGACUGCAGCGCCACCCUGCAAAUCUGGCUCCAAUCGGAGGCAGGGCCAGUUCCUGUUUUGCCCUAGUGCUGUUUGGAUGGGACUUCUACUUAGUUUUUCCCCAUGGUUUUCUUGGGAAUAUAUCGACAGUCCCAGGGAAGUGUCAUGAAGUCUGUAUCUGGUGCUUCUUUGUUUCUCCGUGGUUCUACCCUGCACCCUACUCUCCCCUCUCUCUCCUCUCUCUCUCUCUCUCUCCAAAUGAACAGACUUAAAAUGAAACCAAGUGCUUCCUGAUCCAUGCUGACAAAACCCUCUCCAUGAGGAGGGGACUAGUGGCUCCUCAGGGACGGAUUCCUAGAGAAGCAGGUGGUGUCAAGAGGUCCCCCUGGGUCCCGGGUAGCGAGUCACUUCAUCAGCCUGCGCAUUAAGGGGCAACGCCACACAAGGGGCAACACAUCUGGAGCCUGUGCCUGGAGGUUUCCUCCUAUCGACAAGAUGGAAGGGAUGCCGGAGGAAAAGUUUCUCUGGUUCCUAAGCAUCAGCAAAUUCAAGCGAGUGUCCAAAGAUGGCCAAGUUGCAGAAUCAAUAUAUAUUUUAGUCAAAGAAAGUGGCUCAUUGGUCUACUGGCUGCAAGCAAGCUGUGCCCAAGGUGCUGAAAGAGCUGCCCCAAACUUAAGCCCCUGAGAGCUCACAGUCCAGAAAGAGAGAAAGGGCGACCAGGGCACCCAAUGGAUGGUCUGGGGUUCUAUCCAGCCAGGAGUUUGGGCAUAACUCCCGUGCAGUGUUUAAAGAUGGGAGCAAUGACACGGACACGAAUCGCAUUUGUUGCACAUGUCAAAGAACGUGUUGGAUCCUGUUGCUUUGGUCAGCUCUUCACUGCUGUGGCCAAAACACCUGACAAGAACAACUUACGGGAGGAAAAGUUUACUCUGGGCUCACGGCUUCAGAGGUAAAGUCCAUGGUCAGCUGACUCCAUUUUUUCUGGAGAGAAGGUGGGACGGAACAUCAUGGUGGAAAGGCAUGGUGGAGGACAUCUGCUCACCUUGUGGCAGCCCGGAAACACACAGAGAAGAGCUAGGGGUACAAGAUAUAAUCCCCAAGGGCACGACCUCAGAGACUUACUUCCUCCAGCCGCGUCCCACCUGCCUAGAGUUACCACCCAACUCAGUAAUUGUUCAAAUUACUAAUUCAUCAAAAUGGAUUGAUCCACUGAUAAGCUGAAUCACUCUCAUAAUCUAAUCAUUUUGCCUCUGGAACAUUCCUCAGGGACACAGGAACUUUUCAUGGGGGGGGCGGGUGACACCUCAUCUAAACCACAUAACUGUUUCCUCACCAUUUGGGGGAGGAAAAAGGCUAUGUGAAGGGAUGAGUGCCUGUUCUGCUCCUAGACUUGGCUUUAGGAGACACAGCUCUCAGCUCUGUCUGGUGGUGAGUCCACUGUUUCAAGAAGGCAACGAAGAAACUUCCUUCAGGGACUAGGUGUGUUCAUAUCUGCAAUGGAGGACUUAUCACCGUCUAUAGGGGACAGACUGACCGUGGGGUCUUCGGGGACUGUACUCAGGUCUGACUCUCCUGAAGGGGCUAAGAGCCUAGAGAAGGCCUGAAGCUGCCUUGGGUUCCCUGACAUAAAUGGAAAUGCAUGCAGCCGAGGCACUUGGCGCCUUAGUGA